Molecule: unclassified non-coding RNA, 330 nt
Filed under: Basidiomycota sp.
Lineage: Eukaryota; Fungi; Basidiomycota
Description: partial contains small subunit ribosomal RNA and internal transcribed spacer 1
Rfam family: Eukaryotic small subunit ribosomal RNA (bases 1-47)
Source: RNAcentral
AAAGUCGUAACAAGGUUUCCGUAGGUGAACCUGCGGAAGGAUCAUUAUUGAAAGCAUUUGCGAGGCUGUUGCUGGCGCUCCUUUGGAAUGCAUGUGCACGCUGAGCACUUGAUUUUAUCCUCUUGUGAACCUGUGUAGGCGUUUUAGACUCGAAUCAGAUCACUGAAAAUGUGGAAGGGAGUUUGCUCUAUAUCCGAGCUUUCUCUGUGCUUAGAGUCUCCUUCGUUUACGUUUCUCAUAAACUUAAGAACCAUGAUAUAAACUUGUUAUUUGGUCUUUGCACCAGUAACUCAAAUAAUACAACUAUUGGCAACGGAUCUCUUGGCUCAC